UUAACAUGCUUUUGUCUGUAGGAUCUUGGUCUGGCAACGGUCUGGGAUGAUCACCUGUCAUACCUGCUGUCGGCAGCGCUGUCGGCGUAUGAACUAGAGCGCUGUACAGGUGUGUCGUGUGGAAACGAGGAGUUUCAGGAUGCCGUGAGAAGAGCGGUACCUGACGGACACACUUUUAAAGGCUUUCCUAUUCAUUUCUUGCACCGUAAUGCACGCAGGGCAUUCGCUACCUGCCUCAGGUCACCGUUCUGUGACGAGAUUGUUUGCUGCCGAGGGGAUCAUGUGCGACUGGCGGUGAGGGUUCGUGUCUUUGCCUAUCCAGAGUCAGCUUGUGCUGUGUGGAUCAUGUUUGCUUGCAAGUACAGAUCAGUGCUGUAACUGAAAGCAGUAUGACCAUUCACCUCAGGUUCAUAGAAUUCACAAAUCUCCUUUACAGCUCCUUAAACUAAUCUGCUGGGUCUGGAGUAUUAUUAUGAGUUUUGCAACUACAUGUAUGCCAUUUAAAUCUAUGCUGCUCAUAUAUGUGCAGUACAAUUACAAUUGUUUUACAUGUACUGUGUGUUUGUGUCAGUUGGAGGCUGUUAAAUUGGUAUUUAUGGAUAUAUUUUUCUAAAUAAAUCACUUUUACAAUGCC
This is a long non-coding RNA of Sinocyclocheilus grahami, 634 nucleotides long. RefSeq lists it as uncharacterized. NCBI's taxonomy places the organism in Eukaryota, Metazoa, Chordata, Actinopteri, Cypriniformes, Cyprinidae. The transcript has 2 exons. The record is from RefSeq and is a predicted model, not a curated record.